AACGCACCUUGCGCUCCUUGGUAUUCCUUGGAGCAUGCCUGUUUGAGUAUCAUGAAAUUCUCAAAGUCAAUCCUUUUUGUUAAUUCAAUUGGUAUUGCUUUGGACUUGGAGGUCUUUGCAGAUGUCACAGUCUGCUCCUCUUAAAUUUAUUAGCUGGAUCUCAGUAUAACACUUGGUUCCACUCGGCGUGAUAAGUAUCAUUCGCUGAGGACACUGUAAAAGGUGGCCAGGAAAUUUACAGAUGAACCGCUUCUAAUAGUCCAUUUACUUGGACAAUUUACUUUAUGAUCUGAUCUCAAAUCAGGUAGGACUACCCGCUGAACUUAA
RNAcentral lists this unclassified non-coding RNA (327 nucleotides) under uncultured Ceratobasidiaceae. Its description in RNAcentral is "sequence contains ITS2". The record is from RNAcentral. Lineage: Eukaryota; Fungi; Basidiomycota; Agaricomycetes; Cantharellales; Ceratobasidiaceae.